UACCAGCACCCCGAGUGGUCGGGACGAUUAUUGGGCCUAAAGCAUCCGUAGCCGGUUUUACAAGUCCUCCGUUAAAUCCAGCUGCUUAACAGAUGGGCUGCGGAGGAUACUAUAAGAUUAGGAGGCAGGAGAGGCAAGCGGUACUCAGUGGGUAGGGGUAAAAUCCGUUGAUCCAUUGAAGACCACCAGUGGCGAAGGCGGCUUGCCAGAACGCACUCGACGGUGAGGGAUGAAAGCUGGGGGAGCAAACCGG
RNAcentral lists this ribosomal RNA (253 nucleotides) under uncultured bacterium. RNAcentral's name for it is "partial 16S ribosomal RNA". It matches the Rfam family "Archaeal small subunit ribosomal RNA", at positions 474 to 727 of the family's 1478-position model. The record is from RNAcentral.